Molecule: ribosomal RNA, 48 nt
Filed under: Ochlerotatus atlanticus
Lineage: Eukaryota; Metazoa; Arthropoda; Insecta; Diptera; Culicidae
Also listed under: 1 other name
Description: partial 28S ribosomal RNA
Source: RNAcentral
GGCCUCAAAUAAUGUGUGACUACCCCCUAAAUUUAAGCAUGUCGACAC